RNAcentral lists this long non-coding RNA (472 nucleotides) under Monodelphis domestica (gray short-tailed opossum). Its description in RNAcentral is "lncRNA (ENSMODG00000032685.2)". Lineage: Eukaryota; Metazoa; Chordata; Mammalia; Didelphimorphia; Didelphidae. The record is from RNAcentral.
GGGAACAGGAACAAGAAAGCUUGUGACAUCUGACCACAUACAUGAAGAAGUCUCUCCUGGCACCAUAAAAAAGGAGACAUAACUUCAGGAGAGAAGAAAUUCAUGUUGGAGGAAGAAAGAAAAAUUUGGAGAAUCACAAGGACAUUGACAAACUAUGGUGCACGCAGAAGAGGUGUACCAAGAUGAUGAAAGACUGGAAAUCACACCCUUGGGACAGAUUAAAGGAACCAGGGAUGUUUAACCUGGAGAAAUGAAAACAUAUGGGGCAUGAGGAGUUGUGGAGUGAAGAGAAAGGAGACCUAAGAAGAAGAAAAGGACAGUUUUCUGCUCCUCUGAUCACUAGGGAGAGAGAGGCAAACAAUGGCAAGGUAUGAAGACAGAGGAGCAUUCAGGCUCCUAACAGCAGGUUAGAUCUGAAGAAUUGCAUGAUAUUUUCAAUAAAAUACUGUUUUUAUUAUCUUCUAAAUGUGUU